RNAcentral lists this ribosomal RNA (251 nucleotides) under uncultured prokaryote. RNAcentral describes it as "partial 16S rRNA". It matches the Rfam family "Bacterial small subunit ribosomal RNA", at positions 525 to 775 of the family's 1533-position model. The record is from RNAcentral.
ACGGAGGAUGCGAGCGUUAUCCGGAUUUAUUGGGUUUAAAGGGUGCGUAGGCGGAUAGAUAAGCCAGUGGUGAAAACCUGCAGCUUAACUGUAGACUUGCCGUUGAUACUGUCAGUCUUGAGUAUGGUCAAGGUAGGCGGAAUGUGUAAUGUUGCGGUUUAAUGCUUAGAAUUUACCCAGAACUACGAUUGCUUUGGGAGCUUGCUGGGCCAUUACUGACGCUGAUGCGCUUAAGCGUUGGGAUCGAACAG